Aegilops tauschii subsp. strangulata is the source of this 14157-nucleotide non-coding RNA. The record is from RefSeq and is a predicted model, not a curated record. NCBI's taxonomy places the organism in Eukaryota, Viridiplantae, Streptophyta, Magnoliopsida, Poales, Poaceae.
CACAAUACCCGUGAAUUUACGCUUUCAGUUUUUUUUCUUCAACACGUCUAUAUUUAUUUUCUAUAUCCAAGGUGGUACUAAUCUCAUCCGAAAAAAAGUUGUUUUCCUUACGUUUAUUUGUUUUCCGUGCGUUUAUUAGAUUGGGCUAUUGCGAUGCGUCUCAAUUGGGCUGGGCGAGACCGAGUAUUUAUUUGUUUGUUUUCUUGUUAUUUCAUCAAUCGAUCUCCUUCUUUCUUUCGUCCGCAAAGGACACCCGGUCUCCUUCCUCUUCUUCUUUGAUACAACCCUGUCUUCUUUCUCUUUUUAGUCCAAUCUUCCACUUUUCAAUCCUUUUUGUGAUACAAAUAAAUACAUCUAUUCCAUCGAACAAGCCCUCCCAAGGAGAGGACCAGCGUCGUCCCCGGCCUCUGGCGACCGGCCGGCGAGCCCAACGCCGGAGCACCACCAACACCCGCAGCCCCCAGCGCCCAGCCUUCCUACACGCUCAAGAGCAGGAGACGAACGCCCGCUCGGGAGGAGAACCCGAGUGCGCCCGCGCCACCCUGAGCCGCCACCGGGGGAAGCUCCCGCCGCUCGCCGGCGACGUGCAGGAUCCCGCGACCCCAACGCCGCCGCUCUGCCUGCCUCCUCUCUCUCUAUUUCUUCCUUCCCUUCUUCUCUGGUUCUCUCUCUCAUAUUUCUCUCUCUUCACUGUCCCGUAGCAGGAACAGCCGCUGGCGCUCGUCCCCGACCAACUCCGGUGCCCUGGCCUCACCGCCAAAGCUGGGAGCCAUCCCCACCGGCCGGAUCUGAUGCGCAGCCACCUCGCUGUUGCGCCGCCAUCACCCCUGCAACGGAUCAUCCCGCCCUCCACCUCUUUUUCGUCGGGGAGACGACGAACUCGUCCUCGAGCAUUGACCGCGCGCCCGCGUUCGUGGGCUGCAUCCACGGGCGAUCGAUCACCGCCUCAUGUACGCCGCCGGGCGUCGGACUAAUUUUCAUAAGCUUCAUUCAUAUGUGACAUCAGGAAGCUUCAAAAAACAGGAGAAGUGCAAGAAAACGUCGCCCCAAACAAAUCGCAACUUGCCAGCCUCCGCAACAGCCGUCAGAACCAUGGCUCACAGACGCCUGCUCCGCGGAUCGGCGGAUCCUUCCCUGGUGCCAUGCUUCAGCGGCUUGUGCUGCUCGGUAUCCCUCGUCCAAAUAAUCGGUAUGUCUGUUCAAAAAAAAAUCGGUAUGUGUCCUUCCUGCGGCUACACCUUCAGGAUUUUCACCGCCACCAUGCUUCGGAGGCUUGCUGUUGUUCUUGUCCUCUUUGCUGCUGUGCGCAAGCGCACCUACGCAUAUAUGGUUCUGGCCCAGGGAGCACAACUCUCUAACUCUGGCCCUUCUGUCGUUGAUCUAGGUAUGCACCCCCGAUGCUAUUACAGCUAAUCUCUGAUAAAGAAGUUUUUGGUCCUGAUGCAACUCAUUGACGAACGCAAUUAGGCUUGUAGACUGGCUUCCAAUCUCCAUUGAUUCUCAUUCAUGCACUGACUGCUAUUCUAAACAAUUAUUAUUAGAUAUUAAUAUUAAUGGAGCAUCAAUGUUUUUUGAAAAAAAUUAAUAAGCAGAUAACUCAAGGCUUUCAUUUUUUAUGUAGAUAAGCAGCAGGAGUAUUUCAUAGAUCACGGACCCCAUGUAGUCUGACGUUCAAGGAGGGAAUCUGGCUCAGGAUGCCUGUGUCCAUAUUGUACUUUUGAUAUCUGACUUUCAUAUUGUACUAUGAUGAUCGUGGAUCUUGUGUGCAUAUUGUACUUUUGAUGAGCUACACUUUUAAGGAAUCUGAUUUCAGGAGUCUGAUGGUCAGGUAAGUGUUAAUGUGUUAUUUAGUGUUAGUUUAGUGCAGCUGCUCCCCUGAGGCCCUGACUGGCUUCUUAGCUCCCUCUCCACUUACCUGUCAGCUGGGCGUGUUGAUUCGAUCUUUUGAUCUGGAAAAAUUGACACACUAGGACGUACACAAAAACUUUAAGGUUAGUUCGUACAUGAUUGAAUCUUCUCCGUGCAAAAACUGACAAUACACAAAUUGUAGCAAAAUCAAUGAGGAGCUGAAUCUGCAGUCUUCCCUUACCGCCCAGUAGUUCCCAAUUUAUUUUUGGAUUUUUAUUGUUAUUUGGUAAGCAUAGCACCUGAUUUACAGUGAAGUGCAUCUAUCAAUUUAAUUGUUUGACCGUUAAUACACAGUACAUCCGUGUCCAUGUCGUCAACGUGUUGCUCGCCGACCGUACUGUUCUCGAGAUCCGCCUUGAAGACGGUGGAUCGGGCCUUCAGCACACAUCGUUCGUUAGCAUCUCCGCCUGAUGCUUCUAUAGGAAGAGAGACCCCCAUACUUAUAUUUUUAAUCCACAUGGAUAGUACAAUUUUUUUUAAUCCACAUGGAUAGUUCUGUAGAAAAAUUGUUACUUUGUAGUCUUCUUAACUUGGCUAAUGAAUAUCCACUCUUCAUGUGACAAGAAGUGCAUGAACUUGGCUAAUGUUUAGGGGCAUAAGCAUGAUCAUGUCAAAAGUGCAUACAAGCAUCAUGUAAUUAUGUUCUUACAGAGAUAACAUUCAGUUUAGUAAUCUCUCUUGGCUGAGGGAUUUGACUACCCUUCAUCAGAGCGUGUUAGAGCUAUGGAUACUGAACUCGCAAGAUUCCUUUUUUGUAUGUCCGCAGGGAAGUGUUGACUACUUGAACAUGCUGGAAAGUGUUGACUACUUGGAGUAACUUGCAAGUAACAGAUGUUUUGACAACAAUAACUGCUACCAAUGAGGACCACUGGCAAGAUAUAGCACAACAACCUGGUCCCUGUUCCGUAAAGGUUGGCCUGAUCCCUGUUGAAAUCAAUUUGGCGUGGUACAUUAGUUGUAUUGUUCACCCUGCAUGUUUUUUUUCACUUUCCUAAAGUAUGUUUGAGUAUAGCUUAUGGUUUAUUUAUAAGCUUGUGAGUUAAUUAAAGCUCACUUGGUGGUUCUAACUAAUUAUACUAAAAUAUGACCAUGACCGAAAGAUAGAUGGAGGUUCAGAUGCAGAGUGAAAGCCUGCACCAACAAGUUGUAGUUGUAUAUGGAACCUGGCGACUUGAUGGUGAGCACUAACCUUCACUCCGCAAGAAUCCUUUUUGACACUUACUCUGUAGAAAAUACCUUUCAGUUUAAUAUAUUCUGCUAUUGUGGUUAAUAGAUCAAUGAACAAUCAUUUGAAUUGUGCUCCAUGAUAUUCAAGCUACUAUUGUAAGAAAUUGAAAGAUGUUCAUGUUUUGCCGCCCUCGUGUUUGUCUUGACACGCUGGCGCUACUGUUAGUUGCUUUCCACGCAAAUAAGAACAUAAUACAUCAACACUCUUCUUAGUGUUGGUGUUGAAAUACAGGACUUUGAUGUGGGAUGUAGCCAUGCUUAUUGGACUAGGCAUCUAAGAAUUUUUUUCCCGUUGCAACGCACGGGUAUUUUUGCUAUCUUUCCCUAAUAAUAAAGCACGGAUUGACUUUGUCGGGUUCACCGUCACAAUACGCUUCUUCCCGUGAUUUUACGCUUUCAGUUUGAAUUUAAAACAUAUUCGAGGUGGUACUAAAUUUUCGCUCUAUCUAUUUCACCGCGUCUGAUUUUUUUCCGUAAGUGGCUGAUUCGCUGAAAAAAUAUGGUUGACGCCGCUGGGAUUUGAUCCAUGGUCUGCCAUGUAUAGAUUGCAGCGCAGCAGACCACUAAGGCUAGGCUCCUAAGCUUGCUAAUUUGGGCGUCUGGAACCUUAAGAAUAAAGGACAGGCGUACUCGGGCCGAGAUCAACAGGCACGGUCGUGAUGGGCAUGUACGAGUGCGGCGGCCCACUGGACGGACAAGGGACCAGGCUGGAAGUUGUUUUUCAUAUUUGUUUACUUGUCAAAUAGUCCCACCUUGCUAUUUUACAUUAAUUUUUACCAGUUUAUAUACAAUUUUUAGGUUGUCAGGCAUCAAGAAGCUGCUUUGGAAAUUAAGCAAAGAAAUAAAGAAAGGAAAUAGACAUUCUUUGCAUGAGAAAUAAAGAAGGAAGAUGGUAAUUAUGUGGAGCCGGCAAGAAAGGCCUAGCAAAAAAGGAAAAAAUAAUUGCAUGAGAAAUAAAGAAGGAAGGAGAAAGAGAGAGGAAGGAAAUGGACGGUAAUUAUGUGGGCAUCAUGAUAUAAGGAAAGAAAGAGAAAGAAAAACUAAUUAACAGGAGGUGCGGGAAUCAAUGGCAGGUUGCCAUGCCAUCUUAUGAGUAAAAAUGAUGUGGCAUUUUUUAAUCCUCACUAAAUUCAUGUCAUUUUUUUCUUCCAUUAUGUUUUCCUUGCUCUUAUAAUCUUUACUAAAUUUGCGCCAAAUUUGUAGCACAUUGAACAUUAUGUUUGCACAUACAAUCCUCACUAAAUUUAUGUCAAAUGUUUCAACCGUUCUAACCCACAGGCAUAUAUAGUAUUUUUAAUAUAUAAAUGGAGGUAUAAUAUUAUUGGUCCUCCCAUUUCGUAUGUCCAUGGUGUUUCCUCAUAUUGAGCUAGGCUAUUCUACUAAUCGUCUGUCUUGGGCCACUUGGCCUCUGCCACGUUCGCCCGCGUAAUGUUCCACCAGUAAAAAGAACCGGUGCCCUCCCAACAUGUCCGUGCGACCUGGCCCAACAAAUCAAACCCACCACCCCUUUUAGGAGAUGAGGCAAAAAAUAGUUGACCGUUACUGGAAUAAAACUCACAACCUCCAGUGUGUUUUGGCGUUGAUCGUGUUACCCUACAGAAAAGUGUUGAUCAUUUUAAAAUAAAAUUAAAUUUAGUUUUUGUUUGGGUCCUUCACGGAUUGGUACUAAACUAAUAUGAUGUAAAACCAGAUAACAUAAACACAAGGCACAAGUAUUUCAUUGUGUAGAUGUGGGUCAUGUGGCCGGGAUCUCAAACGCGAGCGUUCGCUGGUCUGUCCAUGCAGGUGAUGCAAUUCUUUAUUGGUUCCAAGCUUACGUGGAAUGUUCACCGUGUAGUGGACAUCGUUACCGACAAUGAUGACAAAGAAAAGAAGUGGUAACAGGGAUGGGGGCGCUAGGGGUGAUAAUUUAUUUCUCCCGUUGCACUUUUGCUAGUCUUAAUAAAGCACGGAUUGACUUUGUCGGAUUCACCGUCACAAUACGCUUUCUUUGAAUUUACGCUUUUAGUUUAAAUUUAAAAUAUAUAUCCGAGGUGGUACUAAUCUAUCGCGGGAGCCAACGAUCGAUCGCUAGCUCGCCAUGCAGGAUUGACUGCCAGAUGGGCCUUUGCUACUAGAUGGGCCGGCCAGACUGUGUCCAACUUUACGUUUACCUUGUGUCCAUGCCCAAAAUAUGCCGCCGGCCCCGACUCCUCCAACGCUCGCCGCCAUGGCCGAGGAUACGGUACACGAGCACGGAGGCGGAUGGGAUAGUGUGGUAAUUGGCGCCUCCCAGCAGCAGAGAGCGCGAGAGAUUUAGUAGCUGACCAUCACGCCAAGGGAUGCAAGCAACAACGUCACCCAAGUGCCCAUGACGGCGAGUGGGAUGAGAAAGGGGCUACAAAAGCGUCGGAGUUGGAGGCGCGGUGGCUGGGAAAAGAGCCAGCGGGAGACGGAGAGGCUCACCGGAGGACACGCGCGGCGGCGCGGUCGCGUGUGAGGCGGCCGGCUACAGGAGCGUGCAGGCGGCGCUCGGGCACUGGCGACGCCAUGGUCUUCUGGCGAGGCGGGCGAGCACGUACAUGAAGGCCGCGGGGGGCACGCUGCCUGGGCGAGAGGGGAGGCGCGAAGGAGGCGGUCGUCGCCGGUGGCGGGGCCGGAUGCGUCAGAUGCGCGCGCUUGCCUGCAGUCAACGCAGACAGACAUAGCGGCCAUCCAUGGCAGCGAGCGGCUCCGGGGGCGGCGACGGGGUUGGGUGGUUCAAGCGGCCGCUUCUGCAGCUACAUGGGAGACGUCCAGGAGUGAUUUAGUAGGAUGUCGACCCUAAACUAUGGAAAGCAAGCAUCCAAUGGAGAAGUGUUGUUCUGAAAAAUGGGUUCAUAACUUUUCAUAUGCUAAACUGAAACCAUGCAUAUUUGAAUAGCAGGAUUAGAGGGGUUUUUUAUUCAGAAUCUAGAGUUUGUCCGGCAUUGCAUCAUCAAGUAAAAGAUUGUAGUUUGUAUUCCUCAUGUCUGCUGCACUUGCAGGGUCAGAGUUGGUUGCCAUCCCCUGGACAGGGCGCUCUAGGGCGUGUUGGCGUGCUUGAGUAGACGAAACACUGAUGUUAGCUGCAAGGUGGAGAAGGAAUACCCCAUGGAUGGAUUUUGGUAGCUCUGAUGACAACAGUUUCAACUUAGUAAGUCAUAUGCUGAUAUUCAUAUGACUGUGAUCUCGGAAAUAAAAGUUCAUAGGAAAGUAACAGAAACCUUCACUGAACAUAGAGUUGUGUUGUAUCUGUACCGAGAAAAGUUUGUAGAGUAUGAAAAUAUGUUUCGAGACGAAACAAAUUAUGAUUAUUAGUCAUAGCAGUUGUAGGAACAGAUGAAAAUUGUAUUGCCGGUUUUAGCAGGUGUGCUGGUGCUCACAUGCUUAUCCAUUGUGAUAUGGGUUUGCAGGUCCAAAGGCACAGCAUACUAUGCUCAUGCAUAUGUGACAUAAACCAAUUCUACAUUAUGCAGCUCACAAACACUACAAAAUUACUAGGGCUAGGAGAUUUGUGCACUUAUGAAGGUUUUUGGACACGAAGGUUUUGAAUUUUCAUAUUAAGCUUCAAAGAUGUUACAUCUAUUAACCUGUACUCAUAUUAGGCCAACGUUGUCCAAUAUUGCUGGGGGAUUUUCCCUUUUUUUACAAAUCAUAAUCAGUCUGUAACCUGGGCGUGUACGAAAGUUGUCUGCACUUUUUUCUGUUUAAUCUGGGCGUCCAAUCUUUGUAAGCUGGGCUUUACCUGUACUUUAUCAUACGGAAACCAAUUAAAUGAAAACUGUUUGAUUCAAUGUUUGCCAGUCUGUGUUUAAUUCUCUGUUUGCUCCCUGUUUGAUUCAAAUCCAUGAACAAGUAAGUUCUUUUUCUCCCUGUUUGAUUCAAGUCUGAAAUAUUCAUAGAUGCUACACUUCAGUCAGUAAAUGAACAAAAAACUAGGACUGAACUUUUAGUCAGUUUUGUGUCAACGAGUAAAUCUGUGUGCUCGAGAUUACAAUUACUUUGAAUAGAGAAAUUAAGAAAAAUAUGUGGAAUCAUCACCACCCCUUAAUUGAUCUGGUGGCGGGAUGUAGAAAUUCAAUCUACUUGGUGGAGACGUACUGGCAUGUGAUGUCGUCCAACUAAUAGCCGUUAUAUGCCUUCCAUUGUGUUUUAAUUUUUUCUCUUGCAUUGCCUGGACUACCUGAUAGAAGCUCCUAUCAGCUAAUAUUACAACCAGAGCGGCAGACAUGUCCAUGUUUGGUGCUGCCAGCAGCAAGCAAUACAGGGUAGGUUUUGUAAGUGCUAACAUUGUAAAUUAAUAGGAUUUAUCUUUUUUUUUGUAUUAAGGAGUUCUAUUCUUUUGCUUCAUACAAAGAUUAUUGUACUAUUAAUUAGUCUAUAGUGGAAAAGUCAAAGAGUAUCAUACUCAGGGUCAGUUAAGUAGUUGGAAUAUUUGUAACCAUGCACUAACCUGAAAGUUAGGCAUACUAAUUAAGCUUUAUUGGUUUUUAAGGCAGUUCAAAGGGAUAUCUUCCUAGGUAGUCAAAUGUACAAUGCACAAUAUAAAAAUGUAGUUAUGUUUCUCAUCUCCUCCCAAUUGCACAAUCAUUCUUUGUUAUUAAUUUCACCACAACAGAAUUAUUGUAAUAGUUUGCAUCUUCAUGAUUUUAUAUAUUUACUUGUGUGGUUACUCUGGUUAACAAAGUAAUUUGCUAGAUGCGCUUAGAAAUAUUACUGUUAUAUAUGGUGUGUGACUUGCAUGGUUUCAUUUGGUACAUUUUCAUUACUACUAAACUUAGACAUAUGUACAUGUUCAUUGAGGUCGAAUGGUCAUUAUCGAAUUUGAAAUUAUCAAAUAUGCGGAAGGUAUGUUUCAACCGCUGAGGUGUAUCCCUAGCAGGAUCUUCCUAGGUAGUCAAAUGUACAAUGUAUAAAAAAUUGAAGGGCGAAAUUAAAGGAAAGUGGCAUCAACCACAAACCUCGGUAAGAUCGGAAGGUGAAGAUUUUGAUGGAGAAACGAAAGAGAGGGGCCGAAAUUAAAGGACUAUGGCAUGUUAAACCACAAACCUUGAUAAGAUUGGAAGGAGAAGAUGGAAGAUGAAAGUGGCAACACGAAUGAGUCGCUUGACGCAUAAGAGGAUUUUGUUCUCCCAUUGCAACGCACGGCCUUUUUUGCUAGUCUUUCCCUAAUAAUAAAGCACGGAUUGACUUUGUCGGGUUCACCGUCACAAUACGCUUUCUUCUCGUGUCAGAAUACGCUUUUACAAUUUGUCCAGGGUUCACCCUCACAAUACGCUUUCUUCUCGUGUCAGAAUACGCUUUUAUAAUUUGUAUGGACAAAAUCCUAAUAUAAACGAGGUGGUACUAAUAUAAAUAUAAACACGAUUCAACGAGCCCUGUCUCACGCACGAUAACUCCAGACGCCCUCCGCCGCCACGCCCCCAUCCCUCCAACUCCGCUGCGCACGGGAGCAGGGGGAACCUGCGACGGAGGUGGCAUGAUCUCCGGCAAGCGGCGGGUUCGAGCGGUGGGGCCGGGAUCUGGUGGCGGCGGCGAGCUCCUAUAGAUCGGCGGCCUGUCCUCUCCUCUGCGUACGCACAAGGCACAAUAGCACGUGGUCCUCUCCCUACACGGCACGGCACCGCCGCCACGCGCGGCCAGUCUUCCUCUCCAGCUACCCUCGAGCAGCGCCGUCGUUGCCCUGUUCUUCUUCGCCUCCUCACCCGCCCCAACUCCUCACCCCCAGCCCUCUCCACCUCGAGGCGGACGUCUCUGAUUUGGAUAGGAGUCGAUGGCGUGUUCACGAUGGAAUACUGCUCCAACACGUAGCUAUGGGUCCAACCCGAAUAUCAGAUCAAUCUCCCAGCCAUAAGAAGAAACCCUAGAGUGGAAGCACAAGUAAAUCGCAUUGCAAGUUUGUAAGACGAGAUUGUUGUGCGGGAACUGUCCAAUCUCGCCUCCACCUACUUCGCCGGAAGACCAUCUGCAAUCCGACGUUGCUCUACACAUCGCCGGAACUCCGAGUGCCGGUUCUCCAUGAGGUAUUGCAUACUGAAGACACAAGGAGAAUUGGAAUCAUGCUAUUUGUUUUUCUAGAAACCUACAGUUAAUGAAGCAAACAUAAACUGAACCUUAGUGUGCUACUUCCUGAUCUUCAGCUAAUUUUUCAUUGAUUGAUUCAUUGUUGUGUUUAGUUAGUCUAUCCACAAGCUAGAGGGACUAGGUUAAUUAAGAACAAUGUCUAAGGUAAUGAUUCACUAUGUACAGGUUGCUACCAUGUCAUAUUUGGUUGGCUUAGAGUGACAAGUAUUUCAAGGGUAAUCAAGUUGAUAAGCACCAGCUUAAAUUCAACCAAAAAUUUUAUGGCGUGAUCUCAAAUCUGUGAGCACACGAACCAGGGAACUUCACCCAGCCAUUCUGGAUUUUUUAAUUGAGAGACAACUAAUUUCUCAUUGUUUGAUUCAUCAUGCUUACUCGCUCUGUCCUAGAGAGACUAACAUUGUUCUCCGAUCUGGUUGAUUCACUUCAGUUAAAUUUUCCAGUAGCUUCAGCUCUGUACAUUGGCAUGAAAAGGUGUUUGCCGUUUAGACGAAUUAACUGUUGGAUACUCCAUGAAAGAGGUAGGCCCAUCGCAUGAUUAGGAAGAAUAAGGUGUAUGCUAUACUUGAACAGAUUCCGUUAAGGAGACCAUUUAGCAUGGUCUGCUGGUUAUAGCCUUCUGUCUUGAACUGUAGGCAGAAGUGAAUUUGCUGCUUUGCGCACUCAGGAAGCUGAUUUCGUGUCGUGAACUCUACAGUUGCAUAUAUUUAGUCCCUCUACACAAGCAGGCACAAACGUCCUUUUGAUUUAUUUAUUUUUGAAUUAGGCCGCAUAAGUAGGCAGCAGUUACAAUCAAUGGUGAUGCAGAUUGAAGUACAGGCAAGAUUGCACCUUUACUAACAUCAGUAUCAACUAUCAAGUAUGUUUAAUCUCAUUUAUCCGUAAGCUUAAUAUGUUGUAUACUUGUAUGGUGAUGCAGAGUUGAAGUACACUGCAAUCUGCACUGGGAUGUCCGUAAGCUUAAUCUCAUUUAUCCAUUGAAGGAGGUCGUCCUUGUGAUCACUGGAAACAUGUUUGUGAUUGAGGCACACAGCAAAAUGGCUCACACUCACCACCAUUACUCGAAGGACCAUCUCCAUAUACGAGUUGCUUUACCUGAAAGCAGAUUUCUGAAGAUAUAUAUUUUUUCGUAUUUGUUUUAUAUUUUUCGUCAACUGGUUGUUUAUAUUGGUGGAGAUCCAGUGCUUUACAGAGCCCGCAUAUAAAGGUAAUGUGUAUUGCUAUUUUUCUUACUUAGUAGCAUUAGAAUCUCCCCAUCUCUUUAUACGGAGGUGAUGGCGAAGGAGGAAGAGUUGUGUCAGGCCCAGCUCAAGCUAGAUGAAGAAGAGGAGGCCAGAAAGAGAGAAUCAGCAAGGCAGAAGCCUUUUGAUCUCAAGGCAUGAUUCUGCGGGUUGGUGAGCUACUAACAAAGACACACCUCUAUUCUGAAUUUCUACUUGAAAAAGAUGGACCAUCAGCUACGGAAUAUGUUCGCUGUUGACAUUGGUGGUGGUGUCUUUUGGUUCAACAUGAAGUUGUUUAAGUGAAAAAUGCAGUGGAACAUGUGGAACAAAGGACGUGGUAUGGAAAGGAAAGCAAAGCAAAGCCUAAACAGUACAAUGAUGCAGAACAUGCAGCCCCCAUCAUCCACAACCUUGAUUCCACAAUAUACCCCGCUGAUAUGAUCUAGAGGAGCGAGGAGCUGGGCAAGGAGUCACUGCCGGUUCACAUGACCAAGAAGGGGUACGCGAUUUUGGGAAGAGAUGCAGGAAAACUGGAAGAAGAUUGACUUCAGUCGCUUCGGCAUCGCAGGCAGCGCCGACGGGAUCCUGCUUUAUUCCGAAGAACUGAUUUUAUAUGAUUCUGAACCUAGCCGUCCAACAUCAUAUCUGUCCAGCUAUACAAGCUUGUAUGCAGCCAAGUUAGUUGCUUUAUUAUGGACUCAACGAGGAAGAGCACUACCACUUUUUCAGAAUUUGAUUUUGUGAACCUUCAUGUUGCACUAUCACAUAUUGCACAUGAGUUGAUUCAGGUUUCCAGAGUUCAGACCACAACAAUCAAUCGGUCUGAAGGUGCUCCUGUUUUAUAUCAGAUCGUGAGGAAUGGGGACCCUUUUCGGAUAUUUGACUACUAUAUUUGCAUGCCGGAGUUCGCCGCCGUCUGCCGUGCUGUGAUUUUUGGCCCGGAUGAUAGUCCGUGGGAGGGAGGUUAGUUGAUCUAGCUGUAUUUAGUAGCUAUUUCAAUAAUGUUAUAGAAUCUUUGCUAAACACCUUUGGUGUUGAUUGUUCUUGAAAAAAGAAUUGGCAUAAUUCACUUCGUGGAUGAAAAAAGAAGUUGCAUGUCCUUUAGUCAGCAAAUCAAGUUGAGCGAUGCAACAUGUUGGGGAAAAGUCGCAGGUAUGUCCUGCACUGCACGCAUGUGAGGCGAAUGAUUUUUCUUGAUGCAUUGUCGUCCAGUACAUGGUGUUUAUCAGUACUACUCCAUCCGUAAACUAAUAUAAGAGCGUUUAGAUAACUAUUUUAGUAUUCUAAACGCUCUUAUAUUAGUUUACAGAGGGAGUACUAUUUUGUUCUUGUCUUAAUUGAGUCUCAUGCAAACUGAUAAGCGGAUGGUAAACACCUCUCUCUAUAUUGAAAUAUGUGUUGAUUGAUUUAUACAUGGUUUUUGAUUUUAUCAUAUGAAUAGCUUUAAGAAUUUGACAACAAGUCCAGUGGAAUCUCAUUUCUUUAAGGACACCAGCGUCUAAAUGCACAGUUGGUUUAUUGAGUUUGUAGAGCCUAUUUCUUUCAGGCGCUGCUUGAAUUAGCCGGGAAAAAGUGUAGUUGGUAUGUUAUUUCGAAUGCAAUUUCAAGUAGUAGUACACAAUGAAUAACUUCACCAACCAAGUAACCCUGAGAUAGUUUAAAACAUUUGAAGCGGUCUUUCUUCUCAUGGUAGGACAUUAAAAGUCUAUUAUAUUGUUUCAGGAACUGUUUCAAGGAAAAGAUAAAUACUUUGAUGUCCAAAAGGCUUUAUCAGCGAACAUUAGCGUGACUUUAAUGGGACAAUAUCCAUGGUUUUGCUAAUAUUGAUGACUUCUUUUCGGAAAAUACAUGUACUCUUCAUAUAGGCAAUUUUAAAAUAUUACACAUCAUAUAUCAAUCUAAUGUAAGAUAUCGAAAUGUAUAACAACUAGAUUAUGCUAAAAGUGUGACCACCAUAACUGGUGGGGCAAAGAAAAGUGACAACAUAUAAGCAUUUGUUUCUCCCGUUGCAACGCACGGGCCCUUUUGCUAGUAAUAAUAAAGCACGGAUUGAGUUUGUCAGGUUCACCGUCAUGACUCUUUUGCGAAAAAGUCCUUCCGUUUUUUUGGAAAUCAACCCGCAGUCUAAUAAUAAGUGAUUUGCAGGAGAAUAACGAUUCGAUCGUUCGGGCCAACAGGACUGUCUUCGGCCUCAAAGGAUAGACGCACGGUAUGGAAAAAACAAACAAGGAGAGAUCGGGCAUGACUCCUCCAUAGAGCCACGAUGGAUCUCGCCUCCACCAAGUUACAUAUUACGAGGAAACAAAAUCAUCGUCACACAUCCGAUUCCUUCCUCCUCCGCACGCACGAAGCCGCCGCCGCUGCUUCUCACCUCGCCGCUAGAUCGGAAUCGAAGUCGUUGCUCAAAUCAAGAGAGAGAGAGAGAGAGAGAGAGAGAGAGAUCGGAUCAUAGGCGGACGAGCCGCCGGCGAGGAAUCCACGUCGGGUGGCUAUUCGUGGCCUCUCAAGCCCUCUCUUACUCCCCCCUCCUCCACCUCCCACCGCCCGGGCGCCGUCACCUCACCUUCCACAGGCCCCCUCGACCCUCGGCUAGACACCACGGCCGGGUCGCCGCCCCUCCCACCGCGAGGAAGACGACGACAGAGCAAGGCGGCGGCGCUGGGCUGCACGUCGAGCCUCCCUCAGUGGCCUCCGUCCUCCAUACCGAUGCUCCGUCCCCCGUUUCAAUCGGCUCUGCUGCAACUUCGCCUGAAGACCGGUGCUCUGCCUUGACCUGCUCUGCUUCGGUCUAGAUCGAUACAAAUAGAGGGAGCACAUUUAAAGAGUCAUCGCUGCAGAGUUUGACACCACAUUUUCUUUGGAUGAUUGUUCGCCUCUCUGAAUCUAGCUUUUUUUAACGUGACCACUUCAAUUGAAUUGCUUAUUUGCAUUACAUACAGUGACCAAAACUAAUGCUUUGAUAUUGUCGCCUCCGCCGAGUUCGCCGGAAGAACAUCCGCCGCCAGAGCGUGCUACACCUGAGCCGGAAGAACAUCUGCUGUCCGAACGUGCUACACCACAGAUGUGGAAACUAAAAGGUGUAUAUAAUGCAGAGGAGGCAAUGUUCAGUUCCUAGGUGCGUAGGUGCAGCCCUGGCCCCAAUAGCCUUGGACGGCCUGAACGGCGCGGAUGAGUGCUUCUCCCUAGGGAGGGCCAUGUCGCCAUCGGCGAGACCCGGCCUGAGCCGGCAGACUUCUGGUCUCAUUAUUUAUUUUGUGUUCAUCAAAGUUUAUUUAUUUUGCACCAUAUCGUAGUAUGAUCGUGGGACACAGGCAGAGAUGGCCAUGAUGCUAGCUGAUAGCACCUCUUAACUUCAGAAGUAUACAUGCCUUUUCUCUAAUUAAAAGAGAGUUUCUUACCAACUAUUGAGCCUACCAGUUAUAUAGAUUUAUGACUCUAAAGCCACUACUCAACUUCAGGUGGUACUCUGCUGUAGAAUAAACCUCCAUAAUUCUCCAUCUAAGAUACUGAAGUUUAUUGAUGAUUCUUUAUUUCAGGAUAUGUGGAAAAGGUAUUUGCACUACAUUUCAAGGCAGAUAGUAGAUUACAUGGCUAAGCAGCCCACCUAUAUUACUAAUUGUUUAUUUUGUUAUUUAAAUUAAAAUGGUUUAUGUAUUCUGUCGAAGCAUUCACAUGCCUUAUUAAUUUCAGGAAAACCAAUUUAUUAUUUAAUGGUUCA